CGGGGGAGACUAACAGGAUUCCCCUAGUAACUGCGAGUGAAGCGGGAAGAGCUCAAAUUUCGAAUCUGGCGGUCUUUCGGCCGUCCGAAUUGUAAUCUAGAGAAGUGUUUUCCGCGCUGGACCGUGUACAAGUCUCCUGGAAGGGAGCGUCAUAGAGGGUGAGAAUCCCGUCUUUGACACGGACUACCAGUGCUAUGUGAUGCACUCUCGACGAGUCGAGUUGUUUGGGAAUGCAGCUCAAAAUGGGUGGUAAAUUCCAUCUAAAGCUAAAUACAGGCGAGAGACCGAUAGCGAACAAGUACCGUGAGGGAAAGAUGAAAAGAACUUUGGAAAGAGAGUUAAACAGUACGUGAAAUUGCUGAAAGGGAAACGCUUGAUGUCAGUCACGUCAGCCAGGAAUCAACCUUGCUUCAUCGCUGGGUGCAUUUCCUGGUUCGACGGGUCAGCAUCAGUUUCAAGUUCCAUCGUACAAUGGCAAGGGGAACGUGGCACUCUUCGGAGUGUGUUAUAGCCUUUCGUCGUAUGCGGUGGUUGGGACUGAGGAACUCGGCACGACCUUCUUCAGGUCUGUGUCUAGGAUGCUGGCAUAAUGGCCUUAAGCGACCCGUCUUGAAACACGGACCAAGGAGUCUAACAUGCCUGCGAGUGUUUGGGUGCUAAAACCCGGGCGCGUAAUGAAAGUGAAAGUCGAGACCUCUGUCAUGGAGGGCAUCGACGCCCGGACCCAAGUCUUUGACAAAGGAUCUGCGGUAGAGCAUGUAUGUUGGGACCCGAAAGAUGGUGAACUAUGCCUGAUAGGGUGAAGCCAGAGGAAACUCUGGUGGAGGCUCGUAGCGAUUCUGACGUGCAAAUCGAUCGUCGAAUUUGGGGUAUAGGGGCGAAAAGACUAAUCGAACCAUCUACUAUCUGGUUUCCUGCCCGAAGUUUUCCUUCAGGAAUAGCAGAAACUCAUGGGAUCAGAUCUAUGUGGAUAAAGCCGAUGAUUUAGAGGCCUUGGGGUUUGAAACACCCUUAACCUAUUCUUCCAACCUUUAAAUUCUGUAACACGUACUGUACGCUUUCGAUGGCAACGCUCUCGUGCGAAUUGAACAGAUUUUCUAAGUGGAGUC
This 1109-nucleotide ribosomal RNA is filed under the name Aureoboletus glutinosus. RNAcentral describes it as "partial 28S ribosomal RNA". It matches the Rfam family "Eukaryotic large subunit ribosomal RNA", at positions 51 to 1123 of the family's 3401-position model. The record is from RNAcentral. Lineage: Eukaryota; Fungi; Basidiomycota; Agaricomycetes; Boletales; Boletaceae.